This 546-nucleotide long non-coding RNA is filed under the name Mus musculus (house mouse). RNAcentral's name for it is "lincRNA-EC47". Lineage: Eukaryota; Metazoa; Chordata; Mammalia; Rodentia; Muridae. The record is from RNAcentral.
UCCCGCGGCGGGCGCAGGCGCGGGUGGCGGGGUGUGCUUGGGCGGGAAGUGGGUGGUGAGGGCCGCUCUGGGCUCAGCGUUCCCCACCUGGAAUGCGUCCUGGCUUCGGCUGGCCCGGCCCAACCCUCAGCGGCCGCGGUGCCCAGGCCCACUCCUUCCGCGCCUGGAAACGUGAGACGGGUCACUGAGGACGACGUAGGCAAACUUUGCAGAGCACGUUGCCACCUGUUGGAGUAGCCGCUCCAGCCCCAGUCGAAAUGCACGGCCGAACAAUGGCAGUUCUGAGUGGCUCAGGGGCCCACACUUUCUUUAAAACCGAUGCACUCGUAGUAAUAUUUCUUAUGCCCCACAUCCAGAGGCCUGUGCUCACCACCUCAGCAGUGCCCGGGGAGGUUCGCCAGGCGUGGGCAGGCUCUCCCUUGAAAGCACCUGACCUGGUUCUACCUUGCACUGGGGCUGAAUGGUAAUUGGAAUUACAUGGGAAUCUCUUAUUGUAAUGCAUGAACAGAGUAAGUACAGUCAUCUAUUUGUUUUCUAUUACUGCCA